GAGUGAGCGGCAAGAGCUCAGAUUUGAAAUCGUGUUUCGGCACGAGUUGUAGAGUGUAGGCGGGAGUCUCUGUGGAGCGCGGUGUCCAAGUCCCUUGGAACAGGGUGCCUGAGAGGGUGAGAGCCCCGUAGGGUGCUGCGCGAAGCUUUUGAGGCCCUGCUGACGAGUCGAGUUGUUUGGGAAUGCAGCUCCAAGCGGGUGGUAAAUUCCAUCUAAGGCUAAAUAUUGGCGAGAGACCGAUAGCGAACAAGUACUGUGAAGGAAAGAUGAAAAGCACUUUGAAAAGAGAGUGAAACAGCACGUGAAAUUGUUGAAAGGGAAGGGUAUUGGGCUCGACAUGGGGGGUGCGCACCGCUGUCUCUUGUAGGCGGCGCUCUGGGCGCCCUCUGGGCCAGCAUCGGUUCCUGCUGCGGGAGAAGGGGCUCCGGAAAGUGGCUCUUCGGAGUGUUAUAGCCGGGGCCAGAUGCCGCGUGUGGGGACCGAGGACUGCGGCUUCUGUCUCGGAUGCUGGCAUAACGGCGCAAUACCGCCCGUCU
RNAcentral lists this ribosomal RNA (536 nucleotides) under uncultured Pichia. RNAcentral's name for it is "eukaryotic LSU rRNA". It matches the Rfam family "Eukaryotic large subunit ribosomal RNA", at positions 91 to 654 of the family's 3401-position model. The record is from RNAcentral. Lineage: Eukaryota; Fungi; Ascomycota; Saccharomycetes; Saccharomycetales; Saccharomycetaceae.